This 566-nucleotide small RNA is filed under the name Pongo abelii (Sumatran orangutan). RNAcentral describes it as "retained intron". Lineage: Eukaryota; Metazoa; Chordata; Mammalia; Primates; Hominidae. The record is from RNAcentral.
GUUUUCUCCAAAUAUUGAAGACUUUGUUUACAUCACAGACAAUGCUUAUACCAGUUCCCAAAUCCGAGAAAUGGAAACUCUAAUUUUGAAAGAAUUGAAAUUUGAGUUGGGUCGACCCUUGCCACUACACUUCUUAAGGCGAGCAUCAAAAGCCGGGGAGGUUGAUGUUGAACAGCACACUUUAGCCAAAUAUUUGAUGGAGCUGACUCUCAUCGACUACGAUAUGGUGCAUUAUCAUCCUUCUAAGGUAGCAGCAGCUGCUUCCUGCUUGUCUCAGAAGGUUCUAGGACAAGGCAAAUGGAACUUAAAGCAGCAGUAUUACACGGGAUACACAGAGAAUGAAGUAUUGGAAGUCAUGCAACACAUGGCCAAGAAUGUGGUGAAAGUAAAUGAAAACUUAACUAAAUUCAUCGUAAGUACUAUUGUUUUCUUAAGCUGUGGAAAGCUUUAGGUUCUGGGUUUUGUGUGUAUGUGGGGUGUGUGUGUGUGCUGUCAUGUAAAUAUAUUAAUAACGUGGGAGUUUUAGCACAAAUCCUUUAUCCUUUAUAUUUUUCUGGUACAGUAUG